UCUGGACAGGACCCUGACAGCCUGAGCACCGAGUGGGGCCCAGGAAACUGGAAUCCAGACUUAACGCCAAUCACUUGUUCCAGCAAACUGAGCCAUCUCUAUCAGGGUAACCCACAAAUGCAGUUUUAGGAUUGCACUGGAUAACAAACUGUCUGUAGAGGGUAUGAAAUCAGACCACAAUUUCACAAUCUCAUCCAGCCCUUUAUGUGUAUUUGAAGAGUCCUCAUCUUAAGAUGUGACAAAGUAGCACGUGCAGAAGAAUGAAAGUAUGUUCCUUUCUUUUCUCAAAGGAUGCCUUCAAAAGACAGGGUCUUACUACAUAACCUUGGCUGUCUUAAACCUCACUACGUAGACCAUUGAUCAUAGAGACCCACGUGCCUCUGCCUCCCAACUGAGUGCUGGGAUCAAAGGUGACUUCCCAGCAUCUAUCUGCCACGGUCAUAGCCACAAAAUCCAGUUCUGACUAAUGGAGUGAGUGAGGAAGUUUCUCAGUUUGGAUUCUACAAAAGGCUUUGCAGCUGUCACAUUAUCUUUGGCCAACCUUUUCCCUUCUUGGCCUGACACACUAGCAAAUGUGCAGAAAAGCAUACGCCAAUAACAGUUGUGGGGAAGAGGACCAGGAGACACAGACAAUGGAGUAGGAUGCUGAAAAGAUCAUGUCUGCAAAGGUUUAAUAAACCUUCGUGCCAUCCCUGCUUGGUCUAUCCUCGGGCCUCCCAGUAUCCACAAGAAACAGAAUUAUUUCUUUAAGGAUGAAGCUUGAGAGAAAUGGGGAUUUAGCAUGCCUUCUGCACAUAAGCAUCAGCAUCUGGAUUUCCCUGGGUCAGAAGACUAGAGGAAGCUAUGCUCUUCCUUCCCUGAUGAUUCAGUAGUCUCUGCUCUGACCGAUGAGGAGAUGAGUCAGCAUAAAAGGUUGGAUGGCACAUUGGGAAUUCAGUUAGAAAUUUCACUGCUCUAUCAAUGACUGGAGAAGGGCCUGUACAUCAGCUUUCUCAUGCCAGCAAGUGGACAUUUCCUGAGCUUCUCAUAUCACUUCAUAUUGGCUGCUGCUAUCUGUGCUGCAUUUCACAGCAUUCAUCAUUCAUCAAAUCUUACAAAAGAAAGGUGGCUUUUGGAAGAUUAAUAGUUUAGUCAACUCCAUUUUAAAAGGCUAAUAGUAUUAAGAUUCCAUUUUGUCUCCUUUGGUUAGGGGCUUUUGCUUGGCCAGUAAGAAAAAUCAACAUGGAGGUAGCAUCGGUCUGUAGCAAUCAGAAUGAAGUUGAGAAUGUAGUCUCAGAUGCAAAACAGCUAGACUUUAAUAUUUUGUUUUAUUUUGGAGGCAUGCAAAGCAAUGGGUUCCUUUAUGGCAUGUUCUUAUAUGCAUGCCAUUGUGCUUUGCUUAUGUUUACCCCGUAACCCCUGCCUCCCCCCUUCUGCCAAUAUUCUAUAUCAUUCCCCCCAAAUAGUCCCCUUCUCACUUCUAGUCAUUUAAACAUUAUAGAUAGAUGCAAGCACAAACAAUGCACAGAUAGAGGUAUUUAACCUUUCCAGGUAUAAGAAAGAACAAGCAGUGUUUUUUUUUUUUAAAUAGAAACAUCUUCAAUAUGAGCUGAGCAGCUGCACACAUACCCUUCCCCCAUGCAUACCGACCUCCCCAGUGGGUCAAACCACAGAUUCCUGAAGGAAGGCUGACUUCUCCUCAUCUCCACACAAGGUUGCAUGUCUCCCACACUACCCAGAAACCAAAAUGGCAUCCUGUCCCUGUCUUACAAAGCAUCCAUUCUUUUCUUUAAACAUGUUUUCCUUUUGCAUUUUUUCCACAUGUUUAGAAUACACCAAUGUUUUUUAGCCUCAAACAGAACAUGAACAACCAAUUAAAGUCAUCCUAAUGUAAUGUUUUGUCUAAGACCACAUCAUAUGAUGUUCAUAUAUAUUUUUUUAUUAUUUUAAAAAACCUUUUCUAUCUUGGCUCAAAAAUCCUACAUUCUUUAAACAGUUUAAGUAUGUAUGUGAAUGUGUGUCAGUGCAAGUAAGUGCAGGUUACCUGGGAGACCAGAAGGGGCAUCAUACCCUUGCUGCUGGAGUUACAGGCAGUUGGGAGAUGUCUGAGAUGACUAGUGGGAGAAGGACUCUGCACGGACAGCAAGCACUCUGAUUGAGCCAUCUAUCUAACCCAGUACCUCCUCUUGCACUGGCACCAUCAGAGCCCAUCCCUAAAACAUGGCUUACUGACUGAUCUCUUUGUUUUCAAGUUAUAAACACAGCCACCAUUUUGUAAAAUCAAAGGUGUCAUGGACAUUGACUUCAUCCCCCAGUAUAUUAUUCUUUGUUCUGACUACAUUGACUUAUUUUUUGUUGACACCAUCUCUCCAAAAAACAGGAAAUAGGCAUGUGAGUGAAUCCUCUAGUUCUCUUUUUUAAAAAAUAAUCACUCUCUAGACUCAUCUUAAUAUAUUUUGCUACUCCUUGGGGAAACAAAAACAAAAUACUCUGAAAGUCAAAUGAGCCUUUUAUAUUUAAAUUUCAAGUACAUUGAUGCUCAAGAUCACACCUUGUUCAUUGGUCCACCAGAAGCCAAAGCAGAAGUCAUUGAAUGAAAUCGGACCCUAGUCUCCUUUGAUUUCCCGAUAGUAUUUUGUGAGAAUAAAACUCUAACUAGUGAGUGUGAUCGUUGGUUUAGAAAGUGUUAUAGACUGGAAGGCAGGCAAAUGUCCAAACAGGAAAGGUAAUGAAGAUUUUAACAAAUUUUUAAAAUUAUUAUCUCACUAAAAUAGCUUCAUAAUCAUCUCUAAAAAUCUUUCUUAAUUUCUUAAAACUUUGUGUUCUGUUUCAUAUGCCUUAGGGUGGUGGGAGAGAUGAAAAUAUCAAAUGCAGCAAUACCUCUUAUAAACUGAACAUUUUAUGUCUCUGACUCAAGAUUACUUCAUGGGCUUGUGCUGGAAGAUUAUUGGAUUCUUUUGAUGAGAUAUUGGAUAUUUCCAACAAGAGGGUAAGUGGUACAAUACCUCUGAGAGAGACUGGCCUGA
Molecule: non-coding RNA, 3005 nt
Organism: Cricetulus griseus (Chinese hamster)
Lineage: Eukaryota; Metazoa; Chordata; Mammalia; Rodentia; Cricetidae
Source: RefSeq, a predicted model, not a curated record